AUACCAAUUUGGAACCACUAGAUCUAGAUUCAAUGCCUAGUUUUCUUCUUAUUUCCCUGUCGCCACCAAUUAAUGCCUUCUCAAUCCGAGCUCAUCAUCAUCGAUGCUUGUUCAUUGGUGCUUUAAGCGUGUGAAAAGCAAGAAUAUGAAGGGUGAAGAUCGAAAUGAACCUUAGAUGACUCAAUCAGCUCGAUGGCUGGGGACUAACACUUACAAUGGGGUGGCCGCAUGUUAGGAUAAUCUUGAGUUUGAGUCUAGUUAGGUGCAUGUGUUUGUGUCCUAAUCAGAUUAGGAGUGUGUCUAUGCGUGAGUUAGUAGUUUUCAUGUGCAUGUGUGAUUCAGCGUGAGUUGUGUUCGAGUAGGACUAGUAGUCCGUAUGGUGUUGGGCUUGUGCGUGUAUAUAUACGCAUGCAACCCUCUAGCUUGUAAUCAAGAUCGUGGGAUUUGAGAAAGAAAAAAAGAAAAAAUAGAGGGCACGAUAUGCGCCUUGGCCAAAUAAUUGUGUGAUCGUUUCUGCGUGUGCGUCUUCAUGUCUUGAUCUUUGGGCAAACCCAACACGGCACAAUCCAAUGGUUGAGGCGGGUCGGGUCGAAUCAUGGCGUGGAGCUGAUGGCCUGACCAUGCCGUCAUGGUGUUGGUGAGGUGUCCUCCUUUGCUGGCGUAGGCGGCACGAUCGGGUGGUGGAGACCUCCUCCUUUGAUGCACGGUUCAUGCGUCACAGUCGGGUCGUGGAGGUACACAAGACAUCGGCAGUGGCGACAUAGUAACCUGAAAGGUGGAUCCAGAGCGGAAAGGAGGAGUGAAGUGGCGAUAAGAGGGAGAAGAGUGGAUGACCUCCCCAACCAUGCCAUAGUGGGUUGGGUGGAGGAGGGGG
This 874-nucleotide long non-coding RNA is filed under the name Brachypodium distachyon (stiff brome). RNAcentral's name for it is "long non-coding RNA (BDIS_LNC002813)". Lineage: Eukaryota; Viridiplantae; Streptophyta; Magnoliopsida; Poales; Poaceae. The record is from RNAcentral.